UUCAUGCCAACAGUGACCCUGAGCAGCGGGCAGGAGAGCGUCCAUCGGAACGUGACCUUGGGACCGCCAGGUGCAGGCAGCGGGAGGUGAGGCCGGGAAGCGGAGUGGAGAAAUAUCCUCGGGUGAAGAUUAAAAUAUAAAAGAAAAUAAGGCAAGAUGCAAAGCAUUGUGAACCACAGCCUAGCAAGCAUGUCAAACUCGCGGAAUGCGGCCUUGGGACACUGACUGUUGUCUACUGACACGGACGCUUCUUGGGCUGCCUGAUGAUUGGCCAGUUGUCAUUGCUCUUCUCAAGGUGAGCUUCUCAACACGACUCUCCGAUUUCAAGACUCGCUUCCAGUGUUGCAAAACAGCAUGUUCCUGUUCAACCAAAGACCCACGAUGAGAUGUGGAGCCUCAGAACCCAACAUCCAAGUCCAUUCAAAGCUUCAAAGACAUUUCAGGGGGCACAGAGGUUCAAGUUCAGAGCACAGCCAGUGAGCGGAGAGAAGAGAAUAAUGCCGACUGGCUCGCCCACGAGCUGACCAGCGCUUUACUCAUUACCUGAGCCAACUUGGGUGACUAAUUUCGAUAAAGAGAGAAAUGACACUCAAAAUAU
Molecule: long non-coding RNA, 598 nt
Organism: Myotis myotis
Lineage: Eukaryota; Metazoa; Chordata; Mammalia; Chiroptera; Vespertilionidae
Exons: 5
Source: RefSeq, a predicted model, not a curated record